RNAcentral lists this long non-coding RNA (3510 nucleotides) under Homo sapiens (human). RNAcentral describes it as "long non-coding RNA NONHSAT160141.1". Lineage: Eukaryota; Metazoa; Chordata; Mammalia; Primates; Hominidae. The record is from RNAcentral.
AUACAUACAUACAGAUUCCAAAUUUGCACUUAACUGCUAUAUUAUGUAUGUACUUGUUCAUGACACCACUUGGAAUUCAGGUAGAGGUAUUUUCAAUCAGCUCCAACAUCCCUUUCCUUCCUUGGAUGUUUCCAAGACACCAUCAAGCCAGGCACAUUUAGGCAGAGAGGUUGCUGGGGAGAAUAGAACAUUGCCAAGCUCUGGCGCCAAAUACUGCACUCUGGCAACGUGUAAGUGUAAGGCAGGCAUUGUGGGUGUGUGACCUCUGCAAUCACACAGGGCCUCAUGCUCAGGAGGGCCCUGUGCUUGAUUCAAUACUCUGCUGGCCCCAUCUUGAAAUUCUUAAUGAUUUUUGAACAAGGGGCUCCACAUGUCCAUUUAUCAGUGAGCCCCUCAAAUUAUAUAGCCAGUUUUGUGUGAGGACAAAGCAAUGGACAGAUACUAUGAAGCUCCUUUCUGGGUGGCAUUUUCUCUUUCUUUUCUCCUUCCUUUCAGAGCUACCAAGUCACCCCACACUCUAGCUCAAGAGCUCUACCUGACCAAAACUCAAUGGCCUUUCCUCAGGAAAUCCAGCUAUGCUAAUGCCACCAGAACUGAGUCAGAACUCCUAACUCUACAAAUAUGGCUCCUCUGUAUUGAGUGCCUGCUAGGUGCCAGGCACAACACUCAACUGGGACCAAUAUUAUUUCUGAUCUGGGAGAUAGAUAGGUAUGAUCAGCCCCAUUUCACAGUUGAGGACAUUGAGGCUCAGAGAGAUUCAGUGACUUGUCCAAGGUCACACAGUGCAUCAAACACAAAUCUGAUGAGCCUUCUCAAAGGCUCUUGAUGCCACCUGCUUCCAGAACAUUCUGCCACUCACUCUGCCUAGGCUGCUGCCCUGCCUGACUUGAGCUCAGGCAGUUCUGCCACUUGGGUCAGAUCGGCUACAAGUCCUGGAGUAUGGGCCCUUCCUAGCCCCAUGCCUAUAGUUUCUGGCUCCUCUUACCUCUUCCAGAUUUGGAUGAAAACACUCUCCAGCAUGGGGUGGGAACUGGUCUCCUGAGAGGCUGCCAUUAGGACUGGGUGAUACAAUCCUGAAGUGCAGAAGAGUUAACCCCCACUAGGAAAACUUUGACCAGUGGAAAAUAGGAGUUGAGAGGGAGCAGGACACAUACAUUCCUUCUUCCUCUCUCCAUGGACUGCUUCAUGACAGUCUGCCUUGCCGCUCAUCCAGCUGAAUCCCACGUGUCAUGCUGAAAGGUCUUGUGCAGUGACCUUCUGGGUGUCUCCAUGGCUGUUUGUGACAUAAUAGCCAUCAAGGAAACACACCACUUAGUGUGGCUUUGCAUCCUUCUUUGCCUCGCUUCCUUGUGUCUCACCUUUGCUGCCAUGGAUUUGCAUCUUCCAAAUGAAACAUCUCACUUUCAAUUUUUGCCCCAGGCUCUAUCUUCUAGAGAAGCUAGCCUAACAUACAUAUAGGAAGGGCAGCCUUCCCACUCAGCCCAGGGUGUGGUGGAACUUCAUUUAGGCUGCAUGUGAAAAUUGGCCACCUGCUUUGCUGUAAAUGUGAUUUGUGGUUCUCUACUGUCCAACUGCUGUAGGAAUGGCCCCCACCUGAGAGAUGCAAUGGCCAUUCCAGCUUGCUGGCCAGUACAGGCCUUCCUUCUUCUCUCUCUCCCCACUCCAUCUGCAUGACCCGACCCACCCCACCUCAAGGCAUGGUUAAUUGUUCAUUAGUGACACCUGGCCCAAGUUGACCCAAUGAAUCUCUCCCUCUGUUGGGAUUUUUAAACUCAGGACUAAGUGAUUCCAUCUCCGCUUCUUUCUACAUACUCUCUCCAAAACCACAUAUGCAGUGUCUACAGCUCUAAGUAAGAAAUCCUGGGAGUGGUCAGUGGACAUCCUUUCUGUUAUGUGGGUAAUGUCAAUCUGCAGCAUGAGAGAAGAAUUCCACCAAUAUGCAGAGAGAAACAGAGGCAGGAGCUACAGAGAAUGUCCUAAUGGCAGUCUCAGACGGAAGUACAGCUAGCACAGUGUAUUCCCCCAAGGGGUGAGAGAAUGGGAAGAUGGGAAGAGGCUAAGUUUUGGACUCCAACAGGCCUGGGUUUCAGUCUCGAACUCCAUCACUUUCUAUCUGUGGACCAUGGACAAGUCAUUUAACCUCUCUGUGCCUGAGGUUCCUCAUCUGAAAAUUAGAGGAAUAACACUAUGUUUCGGCUUGGAGUCCUUGACAGAUUGGAAACUCCAGAUUUCUAUGACAGUAGGAUUGAAGCCUUGAAAGAUCUUAAUGUCACCAUCAUGAGCCUAAAAGAGAUCUUUGAAAAAGAUACUACAUGGAUCAUAUGUGUCUUUCACAGAGCAGAAAUUUUUAAUUUCCAGCCAUUAUAUUCCUUGACAUUCACCUCAAAGACUUGAAAAUUAUGUCCAUACAAAAACCUGUACAUGGAUAUUUAUUGCAGCUUUAUCCACAAUUGCCAGAACUUGUAAGCAACCAAGACAUCCUUCAGUAGGUGACUGUAUCCAUUGUGGUACGUUCAGGCUAUGGAAUAUUGUUCAGCACUAAAAGGAAAUGAGCUAUCAAGCCAUGAAAAACAUGGAGGAAACUCAACACAUAUUACUAAGUGAAGGAAGACAAUCUGAAAAAGCUACAAAUUGUAUGAUUCCAGCCACAUGACGCUCUGGAGAAGGCCAAACUAUGGAGACCGUAAAAAGAUCAGUGUUUCCUGGGAGUAGGAAGGCGGGAGAGAUGAAUAAGCAGAGCACAGAGGACUUUUAGGGCAGUGAAACUACUGUGUAUGAUACCAUAAUGGUGGAUACUUAUCAUUACACAUUUGCCCAAACCCAUACAAGGAACAACAGCAAGAGUGAACCUAAUGUAAACUAUGGACUUUGAGUGAUUAUGAUGUGCCAGUGUAGGUUAAUCAAUUAUAACAAAUGUGCUACUUUGGUGACAGAUAUCGAUAAUGGAGGAGGCUGUGUAUGUGUGGGGGGCAAGGGGUAUAUAGGAAAUCUCUGUUAACUUCUGCUCCAUUUUACUGUAAAUCCAAAAUUGCUCUAAAAAGAGGUCUAUUCAAAAAGGCAUUAUAUAACUCAAUUUAAUCAAUUUAAUCAAGACCAUGUUUACACAGUACUUUGUGUCCACACAUCAUGAUCAUAAGACCAAAAUCAUGUUGGAAACUGAAGAAAGAAAAUUACCUGACAGUCUUCCAAUCCAGAGGCGAAGUCCAGGUCCCAUCUCCUGGAAUUCUGAUAGGUUCCAUGCCUACUUCAACUAACACAAUGUGGACACUGCCAGUUUCCAGAGCCAGGACUUAUGAAGCUGGCAGUUUGUAUUCUCCGCUAUUUGAAAUACUGUCUCUGGGAGCAAUGGACUUCAAACUCUGAAGCCACCAUGCUAAUGUGGCUGCAUGUAGGUGUUCUAGCCAAUAGUUACAACUCAUAUGUAAGUUGCUUUGCUGGAGGGAUGGCUUGAAAGCCUGCCUGAAUUUCUGACCCACAAAGUUAUAUCAUAAUAAAAUGAUGUUAUCUUAA